RNAcentral lists this ribosomal RNA (493 nucleotides) under uncultured bacterium. RNAcentral describes it as "partial 16S ribosomal RNA". It matches the Rfam family "Bacterial small subunit ribosomal RNA", at positions 28 to 507 of the family's 1533-position model. The record is from RNAcentral.
GACGAACGCUGGCGGCGUGCUUAAUACAUGCAAGUCGAACGGAAAGACCCCCACCUUGCUGCGCUUGCGUGAGUGGCGAACGGGUGAGUAACACGUGGGUGAUCUGCCUUUUACUCUGGGAUAAGCUCGGGAAACUGGAUCUAAUACCGGAUAAUAUCAUGAUCCAGUGUGUUCUAUAGUAAAAGUCGGUGUUGUGGUGCAGUAUAAGCUCGCGGCCUGUGGGUUUGUUUGUAGGGUAAUUGCCUACCAAGCCAGCGAUGGGUGGCCGGCCGGAGAGGGGGGGCGGGCGCACUGGAAGUGAGACAGGGUCCAGACUCCUAGGGGGGGCAGGAGUAGGGGAUCUUCGGCAAUGGGCGGAAGCCUGACGGAGCAAGGGCGCGUGAGUGAUGAAGGUCUUCGGAUGGUAAAACUCUGUUAUUAGGGAAGAACAAAUGUGUAAGUAACUAUACACGGCUUGACGGUACCUUAUCAGAAAGCCACGGCUAACUACGUG